UGUAGGCAGCUGUGUUCGUUACCGUUGCGUUCACAAUCUCAAUCGAAUUUACAGAGUGGGGAGAAUGCCGCGGCGAAUUUGUCGUACACCGGAGCAAUUCCGAAAAAUCGUCCUAAAACAAGGUCACAGGUACGAAAUACCCCAAAAGCCUCAAGUGCACGACUUAACCCUCGACCAGGACCUGGCCAGCCUAGACAUGCUCAGGAAUCCAAUGUUCUUUCCGAAGGAAAUAUCCAACGACUUAUUUCAGAGUCCAUGACUAAAUUUCAGGAAAAUAUGACCGCAGUUAUUUCAGAGAAGAUAACAACGGAGUUGAGGAAUCUGAACCUGACAAAUGUUUCUAGGAACUUCCGGGAGGAGCCCCAGCUUGAAUGGGAGAGUGAUAUUGCUCCAUCCUUCCCUCGAAUGAGCAGCGCUAGUAAUCUUCGUAACCAUAGUUACAGGCCACGCCCAUCUAGUGCUCGUGCGAAUUUCACAGACCUUCCUAGUGAAUCUCCUGAUAAGAUCUCAAAUAUCAUUUCCAAGUGGCGUAUAAAAUUCAGUGGAUCUUCCAAAGAUAUUCCCAUCGAAGAUUUUAUUUAUAGAGUGAAUUGUCUUACCAAUAAUUGUUUAAAUGGAAACUUUACCUUACUGGCGCAGUUCGCCAGUCUCUUAUUUACUGAUUCAGCCUUGUCAUUUUACUGGCGUGUUCAUAGGACCACGAAUAACCUUGACUGGUAUGAGUUAUGCAGCCGGUUGCAAGAGAGAUACCAGGAUCAACGUUCGGAUCGAGAGAUCAAAGCAGCCAUGCGUAGGCGUAAACAGGGUAGUAAUGAAAGCUUUGACGAUUUUCUAGAUGCGAUGCUAUCUAUCGCAGACUCUUUACGAGAGCCUAUGCAGGACGGUGACGUCACCAUAGAGGUUCGCGAGAAUUUAAAGUCGGAACUGAAGCUCGACUUGCUUCAUAUCGAAACUCCAGAUUUGGCAACCUUACGCAAGGAGUGUCACAAGCACGAGGAAUUCUUUCGAAAUCUGAAGUCAAAGCCUUUUUCGCGACACGAAGUAGUGAAUAGCAAGAGGUUUGUGAACUCCAUUAGCCAUGACGAAGAAGCUGAUGAUAAUUCCGGAAAAGAAGGGGACUCCCUUGACGAAGUUUAUGCACUCCGAUCUUCCGAAAUUAGUAAAUGCUGGAAUUGCGAAGAACAGGGCCACAAAUACCAGGAAUGCCUAAAACCUCGUCGUAUUUUCUGUUAUGGUUGUGGUGUACCUGAUACGUACAAGCCCAACUGUGCAAAGUGUAAAUCGACUACGGAAAACGGGUCCCAGGAUGUCCGUCGGUCAACA
RNAcentral lists this long non-coding RNA (1323 nucleotides) under Drosophila guanche. The record is from RNAcentral. Lineage: Eukaryota; Metazoa; Arthropoda; Insecta; Diptera; Drosophilidae.